Molecule: transfer RNA, 82 nt
Filed under: Felis catus (domestic cat)
Lineage: Eukaryota; Metazoa; Chordata; Mammalia; Carnivora; Felidae
Also listed under: 1 other name
Rfam family: tRNA
About the family: Transfer RNA (tRNA) molecules are approximately 80 nucleotides in length. Their secondary structure includes four short double-helical elements and three loops (D, anti-codon, and T loops).
Source: Rfam by way of RNAcentral
GCUCAGUUGGUUGAGCAUCUAAUUCUUGAUUUCAGCUCAGGUCAUGAUCCCGUGGUUGUGGGAUCGAGCCCCACAUUGGGCU